AAUAUUGGACAAUGGGGUCAACCUUGAUCCAGCCAUUCCGCGUGUGUGGAGAAGGUCUUCUGAUUGUAAAGCACUUUAAGUUGGGAGGAAGGGCUUUCGGUUAAUACCCUGAAGUUUUGACGUUACCAACAGAAUAAGCACCGGCUAACUCUGUGCAAGCAGCCGCGGUAAUACAGAGGGUGCAAGCGUUAAUCGGAAUAACUGUGCGUAAAGCGCGUGUAGGUGGUUCAGUAAGAUGGGCGUGAAAUCCCCGGGCUUAACCUGGGAACUGCUUUCAUAACUGCUGAGCUAGAGUACGGUAGAGUGUAGUGGAAUUUCCUGUGUAGCGGUGAAAUGCGUAGAUAUAGGAAGGACCACCAGUGGCGAAGGCGACUACCUGGACUGAUACUGACACUGAGGUGCGAAAGCGUGGAGAGCAAAC
RNAcentral lists this ribosomal RNA (421 nucleotides) under uncultured bacterium. Its description in RNAcentral is "partial 16S ribosomal RNA". It matches the Rfam family "Bacterial small subunit ribosomal RNA", at positions 360 to 773 of the family's 1533-position model. The record is from RNAcentral.